RNAcentral lists this transfer RNA (90 nucleotides) under Tatlockia sp. Its description in RNAcentral is "tRNA-Ser". It matches the Rfam family "tRNA". From Rfam's summary of the family: Transfer RNA (tRNA) molecules are approximately 80 nucleotides in length. Their secondary structure includes four short double-helical elements and three loops (D, anti-codon, and T loops). The record is from RNAcentral. Lineage: Bacteria; Pseudomonadati; Pseudomonadota; Gammaproteobacteria; Legionellales; Legionellaceae.
GGAGAGAUGGCCGAGUGGUCGAAGGCGCUCCCCUGCUAAGGGAGUAUGGGAGGAAUCCCAUCGAGGGUUCGAAUCCCUCUCUCUCCGCCA